GAAAUUUAAUUGUAGUAUUAUGAUGAAAUCUCAGCAAAAGCCACAGUCUUCUUGCCAUCAUGAGCCUUCCUGAAGAAAUGCUUCACAUAAUCAGAGUAGAGAAUGUUCUUAUAUUUGGGCUUCUCUCCGGCGGCGAUCAAUUCAGGCAAAGGACCGAUCACAUCAUUUGGCUUUGGAUUUACGAAAAUGGGGAUUGAAAUUCUGUUCUUGCUCCCACUUGCAAUCACACAGUGCUCUACGCUCUUGUAUCGACCGUUGCUCAGUAUCUGCAAUGCGUCUCCAACAUUAAUCACAAGGGAUCCUUCAAUGGGAGGAACAUGAACCCAACCAUCUUUUUCCCCUUUGCCUUCGUUCACUCGCACGUAAAGUCCACCGAUUUCGUCUUGGAGGAGGAAAGUGAGGGAUGAAACAUCAGAGUGGCGGCCUACCCCAACAGUGAGCUGAGGGUUUGGACAUCUGGGAUAGUAGUUGAGGUUAAUCCUUUUGGAUCCCAUUAGCAGAGAUUCUUUUGUUUCGUCUAUUUCCUUCACGUUCAGCUUCUGCAUGAGCGCACUCAUUAGCUUUUGACAAAGGAUUUGGGAUCUCUUCAUGUAUUCAAGAACUUCAUCCCUGCAAGCACUAGGCCACAAUGCAGAAGCCUCCUCCUCAGAGACAUAAAAGAGGCUCAGAUAAUCCUUCCAUUCAAGAGCUUUCUCUGCAUCAGGACUAAAGCUAGUUCCAAACCUGACGUUGUUGGUAG
This 739-nucleotide unclassified non-coding RNA is filed under the name Hevea brasiliensis (rubber tree). Lineage: Eukaryota; Viridiplantae; Streptophyta; Magnoliopsida; Malpighiales; Euphorbiaceae. The record is from RNAcentral.